GCCGGCGUAGCUCAGUUGGUAGAGCAAGGGAAUCAUAAUCCCUGGGUCCCUGGUUCGAGUCCGGGCGCCGGUA
RNAcentral lists this transfer RNA (73 nucleotides) under Planctomycetota bacterium. RNAcentral's name for it is "Planctomycetes bacterium (activated sludge metagenome) tRNA-Met". It matches the Rfam family "tRNA". From Rfam's summary of the family: Transfer RNA (tRNA) molecules are approximately 80 nucleotides in length. Their secondary structure includes four short double-helical elements and three loops (D, anti-codon, and T loops). Further hydrogen bonds mediate the characteristic L-shaped molecular structure. tRNAs have two regions of fundamental functional importance: the anti-codon, which is responsible for specific mRNA codon recognition, and the 3' end, to which the tRNAs corresponding amino acid is attached (by aminoacyl-tRNA synthetases). tRNAs cope with the degeneracy of the genetic code in two manners: having more than one tRNA (with a specific anti-codon) for a particular amino acid; and 'wobble' base-pairing, i.e. permitting non-standard base-pairing at the 3rd anti-codon position. Lineage: Bacteria; Pseudomonadati; Planctomycetota. The record is from RNAcentral.